GCAUUCUAGCGAUUUCAUUUCGCUGCUUGUUUCAGUGAACAAAUUGUCUGUAUAGCAAGCAUUUAUAUCUCAACGCGAAAUCUCUUCAAACACAAGUCGUUCUUUCCUUUACAAUCUCUGCAAUAUUACAAUACAGAACGAAACGAACGCCAUCCGUGAAACAUUCUACUCACUCUCCAGCCCCAGCCAAACUGCAAAGGCAACGAGGACGGCUGUCACUUGCCCAGAGAAGGAUCCCUCAACAUGCGGCGAAGCGAUCUUCCGGAAUUUACAUUCAAGCUCAGUGAUUUGAAAGAAUAUGAACAGGCGAAGAUGGAACGCUUAAUGAAGAGCAUUAAGCCACCCGAAAAACAGAAAGAAGAUACUGAUUCCACGGACGCGAAAAUGGAUCGCUCAAUAAAAAACCUAAAGUUGCCCGAGAACCAGAAGGAAGAUACUGAUUCCAAUCGCAGUUAAGCUAUUUUAUUAUAAAUUUAUGGUAUACUACAAGUUUAGUCAUUUUGGCCAAACCAUGCGCUCUUUGUAUAUCCAUCACAAAUUAAAAAUUAAAAUAAAUAAAACUUUGGA
Molecule: long non-coding RNA, 567 nt
Organism: Anopheles darlingi
Lineage: Eukaryota; Metazoa; Arthropoda; Insecta; Diptera; Culicidae
Exons: 3
Source: RefSeq, a predicted model, not a curated record